AGGGACUUAGGUUAUGCCAUAAACCAGGGGCCUUCAAAACCCCAAAAAGUGGAAAUCACUAGACCCUG
Molecule: transfer RNA, 68 nt
Filed under: Paroedura vazimba
Lineage: Eukaryota; Metazoa; Chordata; Lepidosauria; Squamata; Gekkonidae
Description: tRNA-Trp
Source: RNAcentral